GGGGAUGUAGCUCAGAUGGUAGAGCGCUCGCUUAGCAUGCGAGAAGUACGGGGAUCGAUACCCUGCAUUUCCA
This is a non-coding RNA of Daphnia pulex (common water flea), 73 nucleotides long. Lineage: Eukaryota; Metazoa; Arthropoda; Branchiopoda; Diplostraca; Daphniidae. The record is from Rfam.